This 625-nucleotide ribosomal RNA is filed under the name Escherichia coli. RNAcentral's name for it is "bacterial SSU rRNA". It matches the Rfam family "Bacterial small subunit ribosomal RNA", at positions 1 to 615 of the family's 1533-position model. The record is from RNAcentral. Lineage: Bacteria; Pseudomonadati; Pseudomonadota; Gammaproteobacteria; Enterobacterales; Enterobacteriaceae.
AAAUUGAAGAGUUUGAUCAUGGCUCAGAUUGAACGCUGGCGGCAGGCCUAACACAUGCAAGUCGAACGGUAACAGGAAGAAGCUUGCUUCUUUGCUGACGAGUGGCGGACGGGUGAGUAAUGUCUGGGAAACUGCCUGAUGGAGGGGGAUAACUACUGGAAACGGUAGCUAAUACCGCAUAACGUCGCAAGACCAAAGAGGGGGACCUUCGGGCCUCUUGCCAUCGGAUGUGCCCAGAUGGGAUUAGCUUGUUGGUGGGGUAACGGCUCACCAAGGCGACGAUCCCUAGCUGGUCUGAGAGGAUGACCAGCCACACUGGAACUGAGACACGGUCCAGACUCCUACGGGAGGCAGCAGUGGGGAAUAUUGCACAAUGGGCGCAAGCCUGAUGCAGCCAUGCCGCGUGUAUGAAGAAGGCCUUCGGGUUGUAAAGUACUUUCAGCGGGGAGGAAGGGAGUAAAGUUAAUACCUUUGUUCAUUGACGUUACCCGCAGAAGAAGCACCGGCUAACUCCGUGCCAGCAGCCGCGGUAAUACGGAGGGUGCAAGCGUUAAUCGGAAUUACUGGGCGUAAAGCGCACGCAGGCGGUUUGUUAAGUCAGAUGUGAAAUCCCCGGGCUCAACCU